AAAAAUAGAUUAUUUUUAUCAAAAAUUAUUUGUAAAAGUAUUAAAUAUACAUACAUGUACAUGUGUAUACAAAAGGAAAACAACCAAUAAUAGAUAGAAUCUCAAAAUACCAAGUACAGAAAAUUAAACACCAAAAAUCAAAAUCAUAAAUUAAACACCAAAAAUCAAAAUCAUUACACAACCUGCUUACUCGUACUCUUACAUAUAACUUUAAAAUUAAACACCAAAAAUCAAAAUCAUAAAUCAAACACCAAAAAUCAAAAUCAUUACACAACCUUCUUACUCGUACUCUUACAAAAAAAAUUUGGGUAUAGGUUGAGAUACCAAUGUUAUGAUUCUAACUAGAGAGUUUGGCAAGUAUGGUCAGAUCGAAGAUUGUAAAGCUGUUGUAGAUAAGGUCAUCAGAAAAUCUAAAGGUUAUGCCUUUAUACUCUUCAAACAUAGGGUUCUGAGCCCCUCAAUUUAUAUUUCCAAAAGGUUGUUGAUGGUCCAACAACAAAAGCAACAUCACAACCAUCAUCAACAUCAAAAGUAUGGAAAUGGUGGCGAUCAUUACCCUUCAAAAACAUAGGUGAUGGUGUUGGUGGUGUAGGAGAGGCUCAUUAGUGGGUGGUUAUAACCCUGUUGUUCAUCCACCAUUGACUCCUGCUUUAGGGCAAGCAUUGACUGCAGUUCUUUUAACUCAAGGAGCUACAAUCGGGAAUCUUUUAGGACUUGAUGGACCUCCACAGGGGAUUUCUCCUGCAAUGAAAUGUCUUCAAUGAUGAAAAGCCUAAUCACCUUAUAAGCCAACGUCUCUAACACAUGCCCCUCUUAUCUCACCAUUUGAGUUUUAUUUAGAACCUAUAACCUCAUGUUCCAUUUUUUGAUUUGAUGUGAAUGUUUUCAGAGGUGAAAAGGAGCUAGAACAAACAUGUACAUCGAUAAAAAUCAACACUCUAACAUGUACAAUGAUAAAAAAAAAACAACCAAACAACUCCAAUUUUUUUUUUUCUAUUUGCUUCUUCGUGAUCAUCCAAGAACAAACACCAUAAUAUUGUUGUUUCUUUUCUUCUUAGCCUUCGUUUUCAGCCAAGAACACACAUCAGGACAUCUCCAACCCACCCCCAAACUCUAUUUAUUCCUCUAUUGUUUUCCAACCCUACCUCAUUUUCACCUCUAUUUUUGAGAUAUGAAUAGUAUUCCCCCAUAGGGAAAUACUAUUCAUAUCUCUAAGAAUAAAGGUUUGGUUGCCAAUUUUAAUCUCUAAGAAUAAAGGUGAAGUUUGGUUGUCAAUUUUAAUCCUUCUCAUUUUUAUUUUAUACAUUUCUAGUUUAUUUUAUAUACUAAUUAUAAUUUAAAUGCAAUGUUAAUAUUUAUAAUAUAUGUUAUAUAUUAAUUUAUAUUAAUUAAUCAUAAAUAUAGAGUUUAAUCAGGAGAUGGUGUAUUUGACAAUAUAUAUAAAAGGUGUAUUUGACGAUAUAUAUAAGUUAUAAAAAUAUAAUAUUUUAGAAAUAUACUUUUUCAGAUAAAAAAUAGGAUAGAAAAUCGUAGAGUAAAAAUGAAACAUUAUAUCCUCCAAUUUUUUUAGUUCAUUUAUGGGAAAAAAUGGAGAUGCGUCUAGAGGAGUCAUUACAUGUGCAACCAUGAUUACAUGUGCAACCAUGAGGGAAACAACCUCUUUCAAACCCCUUCCUUCCUUCCCACCGAUUUCACAGCAACACCCAAACUCCUAAAGAUUUUUAUUGUUGUUCUUCAUUCUUCUUUGAUUACCUGUCAAGAACACACCCAUUAGAGUGGUCGAUUACCUGUGAAAUCAAGAGAAUGGCCCCUUUUUUCCCCAUUUCCUUUGCUGUUAAUCGAAACAAAGAUGAUUUUUUUUACCUUUCUUCCUUGUUUUUUUGCCUAUUUCUUCGUCCCCUGUGAUGAACCACCGGCAGUGGUGGUGCUACGGUGAACCAUCGAGGCAGCAACCCCACCUAUCGCACUUUACUUCCUCUCAGCAGCCUAAACGAUCUCUACUUCCUAUCUCCUACUGGACCCUUCUUCUGACCUCCUCCCCUCACACACUCUCUUCUGCUCCCAUCGACCAACGACCGUCGGCGCCUCGCGUGCUCUGUCGCUGCUACUUGCGUCGCUUCAAUCGGACCCAUUUCCUCCUUCUCCCUUCGCACCUCAUAGCCAGGCCAGAAAGAGAGAAACCUCGCUGCUUCGUCCCUUCCCUCCCUUCGACCUCAUCGAUCCCCGGAGAAAGACCCUUCUCGCAAUUGAUCAACCAAAACAUCGGAUUAGUGACUAGGAGACUUCGUGAUUUUCUUGCCGGCUGACGUUCGUGUUUCUUUCCUUUACUCGAUCAACAUAUGACGAGGACGCAAACAUAAAAGCCCUAGAAUCCUUUUAACUUUGAUAAAAUGACCAAAUAACCCCUGAUAAACAUUCAUUUCAAAUAAACCCUUUUCCCAAACUUAGGUUUAUUUAAAACAAAAUAGCC
RNAcentral lists this long non-coding RNA (2470 nucleotides) under Lactuca sativa (garden lettuce). Its description in RNAcentral is "long non-coding RNA (LSAT_LNC008785)". The record is from RNAcentral. Lineage: Eukaryota; Viridiplantae; Streptophyta; Magnoliopsida; Asterales; Asteraceae.